This 388-nucleotide ribosomal RNA is filed under the name uncultured microorganism. RNAcentral's name for it is "bacterial SSU rRNA". It matches the Rfam family "Archaeal small subunit ribosomal RNA", at positions 330 to 669 of the family's 1478-position model. The record is from RNAcentral.
GCGCACCAGUCGAGAAACCUUCGCAAUGCAGGAAACUGCGACGAGGGAACUCCAAGUGCCUACGCUCAGCGUAGGCUGUUCUCAAGCCUAGAAAGCUUGAGGAGUAAGGGCUGGGUAAGACGGGUGCCAUCUGUGGUAGCAGUCAAUAGAUUCGAUUUGUUACUGCAAGGCAUAAGCCGCCGCGGUAAUACCCGCAGCCCAAGUGGUGGCCGCUUUUAUUGGGCCUAAAGCGUCCGUAGCCGGCCCGGUAAGUGCCUGGGGUAAAUCGUGGAGCCCAACUUCACGAAUUCCGGGUAGACUGCCGAGCUCGGGACCGGAAGAGGGAGAGGGUACGUUCAGGGGUAGGGGUGAAAAUUUCCGUUUCCAUUAACGCUUUUGCGCGAAGCGG